AGCAUAUCAAUAAGCGGAGGAAAAGAAACUAACAAGGAUUCCCCUAGUAACUGCGAGUGAAGCGGGAAAAGCUCAAAUUUAAAAUCUGGCAGUCUAUGGCUGUCCGAGUUGUAAUCUAGAGAAGUGAUAUCCGCGUUGGACCGUGUACAAGUCUCCUGGAAUGGAGCGUCAUAGAGGGUGAGAAUCCCGUCUUUGACACGGGCUACCAGGGCUUUGUGAUACGCUCUCAAAGAGUCGAGUUGUUUGGGAAUGCAGCUCAAAAUGGGUGGUAAAUUCCAUCUAAAGCUAAAUAUUGGCGAGAGACCGAUAGCGAACAAGUACCGUGAGGGAAAGAUGAAAAGAACUUUGGAAAGAGAGUUAAACAGUACGUGAAAUUGCUGAAAGGGAAACGCUUGAAGUCAGUCGCGUUGUCCAGGGAUCAACCUUGCUUUUGCUUGGUGUACUUUCUGGUUGACGGGUCAGCAUCAAUUUUGACUAUWGGAAAAAGAUUAGGGGAAUGUGGCAUCUUUGGAUGUGUUAUAGCCCUUGGUUGCAUACAAUGGUUGGGAUUGAGGAACUCASCACGCCGCAAGGCCGGGUUUUAACCACGUACGUGCUUAGGAUGCUGGCAUAAUGGCUUUAAUCGACCCGUCUUGAAACACGGACCAAGGAGUCUAACAUGCCUGCGAGUGUUUGGGUGGAAAACUCGAGCGCGUAAUGAAAGUGAAAGUUGAGAUCCCUGUCGUGGGGAGCAUCGACGCCCGGACCAGACCUUUUGUGACGGCUCCGCGGUAGAGCAUGUAUGUUGGGACCCGAAAGAUGGUGAACUAUGCCUGAAUAGGGUGAAGCCAGAGGAAACUCUGGUGGAGGCUCGUAGCGAUUCUGACGUGCAAAUCGAUCGUCAAAUUUGGGUAUAGGGGCGAAAGACUAAUCGAACCAUCUAGUAGCUGGUUCCUGC
Molecule: ribosomal RNA, 937 nt
Filed under: Cortinarius ursus
Lineage: Eukaryota; Fungi; Basidiomycota; Agaricomycetes; Agaricales; Cortinariaceae
Description: LSU rRNA
Rfam family: Eukaryotic large subunit ribosomal RNA
Source: RNAcentral